CAGCCUGCCCACCACUUGGGGAUAACCUUGCGAAAGUAAGACUAAUACCCAAUGAUAUCUCUAGAAGACAUCUGAAAGAGAUUAAAGAUUUAUCGGUGAUGGAUGGGGAUGCGUCUGAUUAGCUUGUUGGCGGGGUAACGGCCCACCAAGGCAACGAUCAGUAGGGGUUCUGAGAGGAAGGUCCCCCACAUUGGAACUGAGACACGGUCCAAACUCCUACGGGAGGCAGCAGUGAGGAAUAUUGGUCAAUGGACGAGAGUUUGAACCAGCCAAGUAGCGUGCAGGAUGACGGCCCUAUGGGUUGUAAACUGCUUUUAUAAGGGAAUAAAGUGAGUCUCGUGAGACUUUUUGCAUGUACCUUAUGAAUAAGGACCGGCUAAUUCCGUGCCAGCAGCCGCGGUAAUACGGAAGGUCCGGGUGUUGUCCGGAUUUAUUGGGUUUAAAGGGAGCGUAGGCCGGAGAUUAAGCGUGUUGUGAAAUGUAGACGCUCAACGUCUGCACUGCAGCGCGAACUGGUUUCCUUGAGUACGCACAAAGUGGGCGGAAUUCGUGGUGUAGCGGUGAAAUGCUUAGAUAUCACGAAGAACUCCGAUUG
RNAcentral lists this ribosomal RNA (595 nucleotides) under uncultured Bacteroidota bacterium. RNAcentral's name for it is "bacterial SSU rRNA". It matches the Rfam family "Bacterial small subunit ribosomal RNA", at positions 122 to 715 of the family's 1533-position model. The record is from RNAcentral. Lineage: Bacteria; Pseudomonadati; Bacteroidota.